Molecule: ribosomal RNA, 397 nt
Filed under: uncultured bacterium
Lineage: Bacteria
Description: bacterial SSU rRNA
Rfam family: Bacterial small subunit ribosomal RNA
Source: RNAcentral
AUUGAACGCUGGCGGCAUGCCUUACACAUGCAAGUCGAACGGCAGCACGGGAGCAAUCCUGGUGGCGAGUGGCGAACGGGUGAGUAAUGUAUCGGAACGUACCUUUCAGUGGGGGAUAACGUAGCGAAAGUUACGCUAAUACCGCAUAUUCUGUGAGCAGGAAAGCAGGGGAGUCGCAAGACCUUGCGCUGAUUGAGCGGCCGAUAUCAGAUUAGCUAGUUGGUGAGGUAAAGGCUCACCAAGGCGACGAUCUGUAGCGGGUCUGAGAGGAUGAUCCGCCACACUGGAACUGAGACACGGUCCAGACUCCUACGGGAGGCAGCAGUGGGGAAUUUUGGACAAUGGGCGCAAGCCUGAUCCAGCCAUGCCGCGUGAGUGAAGAAGGCCUCGGUUGUAA